GAUGAACGCUGGCGGCGUGCCUAAUACAUGCAAGUCGAGCGAACGGACGAGAAGCUUGCUUCUCUGAUGUUAGCGGCGGACGGGUGAGUAACACGUGGAUAACCUACCUAUAAAACUGGGAUAACUUCGGGAAACCGGAGCUAAUACCGGAUGAUAUUUUGAACCGCAUGGUUCAAAAGUGAAAGACGGUCUUGCUGUCCCUUAUAGAUGGAUCCGCGCUGCAUUAGCUAGUUGGUAAGGUAACGGCUUACCAAGGCAACGAUGCAUAGCCGACCUGAGAGGGUGAUCGGCCACACUGGAACUGAGACACGGUCCAGACUCCUACGGGAGGCAGCAGUAGGGAAUCUUCCGCAAUGGGCGAAAGCCUGACGGAGCAACGCCGCGUGAGUGAUGAAGGUCUUCGGAUCGUAAAACUCUGUUAUUAGGGAAGAACAUAUGUGUAAGUAACUGUGCACAUCUUGACGGUACCUAAUCAGAAAGCCACGGCUAACUACGUG
RNAcentral lists this ribosomal RNA (497 nucleotides) under uncultured bacterium. Its description in RNAcentral is "partial 16S ribosomal RNA". It matches the Rfam family "Bacterial small subunit ribosomal RNA", at positions 28 to 507 of the family's 1533-position model. The record is from RNAcentral.